This is a long non-coding RNA of Monodelphis domestica (gray short-tailed opossum), 2410 nucleotides long. RefSeq lists it as uncharacterized. NCBI's taxonomy places the organism in Eukaryota, Metazoa, Chordata, Mammalia, Didelphimorphia, Didelphidae. The record is from RefSeq and is a predicted model, not a curated record.
ACCUACCCAACGUUUGGCUCAAAGGCAAAGCUAGCCAAGUAGCGUCAGUAGAUGGUCAGUCGCCAGGAGGCUAACAACUGCGUGGUGCAGGGGCACAUCCAGACCGAGCAAUGGGGACAUCCAGACAUGUGCUCUGGACUUCCAGCUUUGAAAGAGAAGAUGGAAGAGGCCAACCCCACUCCAGAUUGCUGAAGAAAAAGACUAGGAAGAUAGGAGAGGAGCUGGCAGUCUCAAUCAUGUUCCUAUUCCCAACUUGCUACUCUAAAGACUUUAGGGAAUUUCCUGUUGGAUGAAAUCUAGGACUCUGCUUCUCUGUGUCUCUGUCCCUGCCUCUGCCUCUGUCUGUCUGUCUGUCUGUCUGUCUGUCUCUCUCAGUUGAGCUGAGUUGCCUUACACCCAAAAGAUGAGCUGUAUUAUAUGGCACAUAUUCUCUCAUAUAUGUUCUCUUAUUUCUGUUUUGCCAUGAUUUAGAUGAAUGGACUUCUUUGCUAUUCACUAUGUGUGUUCAUUGUUAUUUAGGUAUUAGGUAGGAAAGAAAUCAAGUGUUGGAUAUAGAACUUGGGGUCCCUCUUCCCCUAGAAAUAACAAAAGUGAUCAAAAGUUAAAUGAAAUCCAACCAUAUCCUCUGGACUCACAAUAUUUAAGGAACAGAUAGAUAUAGUUCUAGUGAAGGAGCCCUUUCUCUCAGGAGACCAGACUAGUAGUCUCUGGUGCCAUCCUCCCCAAAGUUUCCUUUGGAGAAGGGUUGGGGGACAAGAGGCUAAAGAUGCUUAUUCUGUCUCAGAGCCACACAAAGACAGUGUUCCUCACCAUAUGUGACCCUCUCUAUAUGAGGGAUCACCAUUCUUCCAAAAGGUAACAAUCCAUGUCCUCAGGAAAUUUACAUUCAACUGGGAGAAAGCAAUGUAGACUCAACAGAGUGAAUUUAGUAGAGAUAUACAGUAACUUUUUUAGAUGGUGGCACUAAGAAAUGGGGUUUCUUGUGUAGGAGGAGACUUUGAAGAGCUUUUCAUGACAGAGAGCAGGAUUUGUAUUUGAUCCCCUGAGGCAGGAGAGAGUCUCCAAAGUGUCUUGAAUAGAAAAAUGAUAACAUCAUAAAUAAGGGGCAGCUAGGUGGAUAGAGAGCAAGGCCUAGACAGGAAGAUCUGGCUUCAAAUUUGGCCUCAGACACUUCCUAGCUAUGUGACCCUUGGCAAGUCCCUAAACCCUAACUGCUUAGCCCUUGACAACCUGAUUUUAGGAAACUCAGAAUUGAUUUUCCUCUCCAACAGCCAGUCUUCUAAGAAAUCCUUUACUGACCCUUUGUCUCAGAGUGAACCAUAAACCCUCAAGUACCUCUGGAUUAUUUUAGAUUAGGUUAUAAAAUUUAAUUCAGUCUUUGUAACUCUUUUUUUUUUUUAACAUUGUAUUUACUUUAAACCAAGAGUUUCAACCCCUGUCUAGAAUCCUCCUUCCUUAGUCUCUAUGUAGCCAAUCAGUUUUUCUUUCUUUCUUAUACUCCCUAAAGCAGUGAAGGUGAACCUAUGGCACAGGUGCCAAAGCUCUCUAUAUGGCACAUAGAGCUCUCUCUGAGGGAACACAGACUCUCUCUCUGGCCCCACCCCCAGGGUUUGUUACUAAAAAGGCAGAGGGACUCAGGUGGAGGUGCUCCCCUCCCCUUCUCUAUUGGGCCUGAUGACAUUUUUUCACAUCCCCUGCCCCUCUGCCCAGCAGCCCAAUGGGAGCACAAGGGGGUAAGGUGGAUAGGCAUAGGCAGCACAGCUGAUGGGGAGCAGAUUGCUCAGGCCCCUCCCCUCCUCCUCUCUACACUGAGGACAUUUCUGACUUCAUCCACUCCUAUGCCCUGCAACCUAAUGGGAGUACUUCCUCCCUCCUCUGUGUGGGUAAGGGGGUAGGCAAAGUUUGCCCAGCACUGGAGGGUGGGGUAUGGCACUGGGCCUGGGGUGGGGGUGGGGGCAGGGCCCAACAUUCCAUCUCUAAAAGGUUCACCAUCACUGCCCUAAAGUGUAUCUAAGACCCCAAGCUCUUAACUUUUUUUUUAAACCCUUACCUUCGGUCUUGGAGUCAAUACUGUGUAUUGGCUCCAAGGCAGAAGAGUGGUGAGGGCUAGGCAAUGGGGGUCAAGUGACUUGCCCAGGGUCACACAGCUGGGAAGUAUCUGAGGCUAGAUUUGAACCUAGGACCUCCCAUCUUUAGGCCUGACUCUCAAUCCACUAAGCUACCCAGCUGCCCCCUCCAAGCUCUUAACUUUGAUGAAAAAUUCCCAUUUGUGGUACAUUUUCCUGGAGAUAUUUUCCUCAGAGUCUCAGAGUCCAGAUUGGUGUGGUGGUGUUAUGUAUGUGCAUGACUCUAUAUGUUGGCCAUAAGACCACUGUCUUCCUUUUCCUGAUUAAAGACGUGUUCUUUUUAA